Molecule: long non-coding RNA, 1874 nt
Organism: Empidonax traillii (willow flycatcher)
Lineage: Eukaryota; Metazoa; Chordata; Aves; Passeriformes; Tyrannidae
Exons: 2
Source: RefSeq, a predicted model, not a curated record
UGGCCGCCCCGUGACUGGUGACCGAGCGCGGCCGUGGCUCUUUAGAGACACUUGAGACUUUUUUUAUGUGCUACUUAAUUGAAACCAAAGAAACGUUUUCUGCACCUACUUCUUCUGCAACAAACUGUUCCAUUGAAAGAUAAAAUAAAAAUGAAAAAAAACCAAGGAAGCACGUCAGGAAGCAAACGAGUCCCACACUGUGUUUUACAGACAUCUCGGAUGUUUUCGGAAGCAGAACUCAAAGAAAGGGUUGACAAGAAUGAGAACAAAGCAAAACCAGUACAAUUGCUGCUUCAUUUGACAACUCCAGUCAUCUUAAAGUUGAAGAUUGUCUUUAAUUUGUGCCUAUGCAGUUUUUUCAAAAGAACAAGGAACAGAGCAACCAAAACCUCAACAGCUACAAUACCAAAGAUGAGGAUUCUCACUACUUGUGUUUCAGUUUGUUUUCUCCUCUUGCACGACUAAUGCACAUAACCCCACUGCUCUCUGGACAGACUGGUGUGUGCAGAGAGUAUCCCAGCAUCUUCCGGACCGGGAACUUGGAGUUACAACCGUGGGCACAGCCGAGAUGAAUUCAACUUUCAAGAAACCUUGGAUAUUGCUUUAAUUGCCCCUGAAGGAACAAGGAAUGUGCUCGAUGACUUCGGUUGAAUAGCUUUAUUGUGGAUCUCUCUAACCUACAGCUGAAUCCAAAGACCUGAGAAGGACUCAACCAGCAAACCUCGCUCAUCCCUGCGGGAGGGAAGGGCGAUCUCAGCCCUGCAGGAGGCACUGGGAACCUCCUCUCCCAAAGGAAGACACGGUAACUACACAGUGUUGCAAAGAGUGCGCUGGCUUCGGACACAGCCAGUGCUUUUCUUGCUUGUCACAAUUCCUAAGGAUUUUUAAGACAUGGGGAAACUUUCUACUUGGCCUCCUUUAUAUUUAUUAAGGGGAAUUUUUAUUGUUUAAAUUUUUUAAAAAGGCAAAGCUUAAAUUUUUUUUUUUUCCAGACACUUGUGGGUUUUGACCCGGUAUAUUAUCUAUCAGUAAUGUAAUUUAUUUAAUUUAGUCUUAGGGCAGGUCCUGAGAUCUCUGUUCAGUCUGAAUCCCACUGAGUCUCAUUUGAGUUUUUGAAUUCAGUGGGAGUUUUGCCUGAUUGCAGACUGGGGGGUCAGGCUCCCAUGUUAGCUAUUUGCAACUAUUUAAUUUACUCCUCUAUGAACUCAUUUGGGAUUAAUUUUGCUUAUUUAUCCCUUUGCCUGUUGUGGUGCAUCAGAGAUGCGAAGCCUGUUAGUAAAUACACUGAAGAGCUGGGGUUGCUUCCCAGAGCAGCCAGGUUCUGUGAGACAGGGAGAAACAACUCGUUCCAUGAAACAAGAGUCUAGUUCUAGUUCCCUCUUUUAGUUAAUUUUAAUUGUUUAAGUAUCAAAGUUUAAAUUAUUUAAGGUAAUCUCCUCCCAUCCGACUGGAAAGUGCAACAUACCUUCCUUAUGGCACGUGAAGCCUUCGUAAUUAUAACUUAUUUAUUUAACUUAUUCCUCACCACCCCAGGAUGCCCUUGUAGAGUUUUUAUUUUUGAUUUAGAAUUAUCUAUAAAGCACUGCAGCUGAUCUCCUGUAAGAACAGCAGAGCAAACUUUGAGGACGAGCAAUGAAUAUUCAAACCUAAAACCGUGUGUUCGGAAGAACAGUUUAAAAAAAAAAAAAAAGACACUGGGAUACUUUGCCUGAAUUUUGUGGCUUCUUAAAACUUAAGCUGGGGGUAAAAUAAUCCAUGCCAAGCAAAAAGAGAGAAACCCUUAAACUAGCUGCUUCCAAGAAUGAACUUCUGUGUGUGGAAAAAAGAGAAAAAGGAAAAAAAAAAAGGAAAAAAGAAAACAAAAACCAGAAAAA